RNAcentral lists this long non-coding RNA (305 nucleotides) under Rattus norvegicus (Norway rat). Its description in RNAcentral is "long non-coding RNA NONRATT003108". Lineage: Eukaryota; Metazoa; Chordata; Mammalia; Rodentia; Muridae. The record is from RNAcentral.
AAUCAUCGCAGCAUCACUCACAAUGGCCAGGAACAGCAGCGACACAGGGCGGCUCUGACGAAUGGGUGUGUGGGACAGCCACACAGAAGAGAACUAACUGUUCAACAACAGGAGCUAGUGCUGUGGUGAGCUUGAGAACACCACGUGAUAGAAGCUCAGCAAGGAGGCCUGACUAUUUAUAGGAAACGUCUAUAAGAAUGGGGGAAUGCUGGGAAAGAGGGAGGACCUAGGAGGAGGGUAACAGGACUGAAAAAGAAGAACAAAGAAGAAUCCUUUCAGACAAAAACAAACAAACAAACAAACAA